This 27-nucleotide non-coding RNA is filed under the name Mus musculus (house mouse). The record is from RNAcentral. Lineage: Eukaryota; Metazoa; Chordata; Mammalia; Rodentia; Muridae.
UGGUACUGCCAAGGCUGCAAAGGCUGC